This 359-nucleotide ribosomal RNA is filed under the name uncultured bacterium. Its description in RNAcentral is "bacterial SSU rRNA". It matches the Rfam family "Bacterial small subunit ribosomal RNA", at positions 796 to 1165 of the family's 1533-position model. The record is from RNAcentral.
CAUGCCCUAAACUAUGAGUGCUGGAUAUUGGGAGUAUCGACCCUCCCAGUGUCGUCAAAAAAGCUAACGCGAUAAGCACUCCGCCUGGGAAGUACGGCCGCAAGGCUAAAACUCAAAGGAAUAGACGGGGACCCGCACAAGCGGUGGAACAUGUGGUUUAAUUCGACGGUAAGCGAGGAACCUCACCAAGGCUUGACAUGCAACUGCUAACCCUAUGAAAGUAGGGCUCCUUCGAGGGUGUUGCACAGGUGCUGCAUGGUUGUCGUCAGCUCGUGCCGUGAGGUGUACCCUUAAGUGGGGUAACGAGCGCAACCCUCGUGUCGUGUUGUUUUUCACGACAGACUGCCUGGGAUAACCAG